This 460-nucleotide ribosomal RNA is filed under the name uncultured bacterium. Its description in RNAcentral is "partial 16S ribosomal RNA". It matches the Rfam family "Bacterial small subunit ribosomal RNA", at positions 338 to 795 of the family's 1533-position model. The record is from RNAcentral.
CCUACGGGAGGCAGCAGUGAGGAAUAUUGGUCAAUGGGCGGGAGCCUGAACCAGCCAAGUCGCGUGAGGGAAGACGGUCCUAUGGAUUGUAAACCUCUUUAGGCGGGGAGCAAUGCCGGGCACGCGUGCCCGGAGUGAGAGUACCCGCAGAAUAAGCAUCGGCUAACUCCGUGCCAGCAGCCGCGGUAAUACGGGGGAUGCGAGCGUUAUCCGGAUUUUUUGGGUUUAAAGGGUGCGUAGGCGGAUUUUUAAGUCAGCGGUAAAAUGUCCGGGCUCAACCCGGGCCGGCCGUUGAAACUGGGGAUCUUGAGUGGGCGAGAAGUAUGCGGAAUGCGUGGUGUAGCGGUGAAAUGCAUAGAUAUCACGCAGAACUCCGAUUGCGAAGGCAGCAUACCGGCGCCCGACUGACGCUGAGGCACGAAAGCGUGGGGAUCGAACAGGAUUAGAUACCCGUGUAGUC